CAGCAGCCACGGUAAUACAGAGGGUGCAAGCGUUAAUCGGAAUUACUGGGCGUAAAGCGCGCGUAGGUGGUUUGUUAAGUUGGAUGUGAAAGCCCCGGGCUCAACCUGGGAACUGCAUCCAAAACUGGCAAGCUAGAGUACGGUAGAGGGUGGUGGAAUUUCCUGUGUAGCGGUGAAAUGCGUAGAUAUAGGAAGGAACACCAGUGGCGAAGGCGACCACCUGGACUGAUACUGACACUGAGGUGCGAAAGCGUGGGGAGCAAACAGGAUUAGAUACCCCCGUAGUCCCUGUCUCUUAUAC
RNAcentral lists this ribosomal RNA (301 nucleotides) under uncultured bacterium. RNAcentral's name for it is "partial 16S ribosomal RNA". It matches the Rfam family "Bacterial small subunit ribosomal RNA", at positions 509 to 807 of the family's 1533-position model. The record is from RNAcentral.